GUGUCAGCAGCCGCGGUAAUACGUAGGUGGCAAGCGUUGUCCGGAUUUAUUGGGCGUAAAGCGCGCGCAGGCGGUUCGUUGCGUCCGAGGUGAAAUCUCCUGGCUCAACUGGGAGGGGUCUUCGGAUACGGGCGGACUUGAGGAGAGCAGAGGUGAGUGGAAUUCUCGGUGUAGUGGUGAAAUGCGUAGAUAUCGAGAGGAACACCAGUGGCGAAGGCGACUCACUGGGCUCCACCUGACGCUGAGGCGCGAAAGCGUGGGGAGCGAACCGGAUUAGAUACCCCUGUAGUCC
Molecule: ribosomal RNA, 292 nt
Filed under: uncultured bacterium
Lineage: Bacteria
Description: partial 16S ribosomal RNA
Rfam family: Bacterial small subunit ribosomal RNA
Source: RNAcentral